This 254-nucleotide ribosomal RNA is filed under the name uncultured bacterium. Its description in RNAcentral is "partial 16S ribosomal RNA". It matches the Rfam family "Bacterial small subunit ribosomal RNA", at positions 524 to 776 of the family's 1533-position model. The record is from RNAcentral.
UACGUAGGGGCCUAGCGUUGUCCGGAUUUAUUGGGCGUAAAGAGCUCGUAGGCGGUUCGGUAAGUCAGGUGUGAAAUCUCCACGCUCAACGUGGAGGGGCCACCUGAUACUGCCGUGACUCGAGUCCGGUAGGGGAGUGUGGAAUUCCCGGUGUAGCGGUGAAAUGCGCAGAUAUCGUAAGGAAGACCAGUGGCGAAGGCGGGUCUCUGGACAGUUCCUGACGCUGAGGCACGAAGGUCAGGGGAGCAAACGGG